UUCAAUCAUAUAAACACAAACUUAUUUAUCCAAUGAAAAUCUUGAUAUCUAUGAAUCGAACAGUGAUGGAACAAAAAUAAACUCUCACGCUUAAUUAUUCUGAACAUGGAACUAAUUGGAACAAGGGAGUGCUAACAUAAUUUAAGUUCAAGCAUUUACAAACGAGAGAGAACAAAGAUACCAAGAAUAAACAUGAUUAAAAGUAAUCAUAAGAAUAUGCAAAUCCAAUCCCUAACAAAGCAGCGGUGAGAAUGAAAUAAAGAUCCGAAAAUUGAUGCCGAAAAACUUGAGAAAAAUCGAUCUAGACUGCGACCGGAAAACCUCCAAACCACGAACUCGAAACUCAAGCUCACUGGAAUUUUAGCCUGGAUGGCAUAAUCUUUUCACUAAUUGAAUGAAUUUUGUGACAAAAGAAGGUUAUUUCAAAAUGAUGAAGAUGGAGGAUAGAGGUGAUGGAAAAUCCCAAGAUUUGAGUCCCU
This 479-nucleotide long non-coding RNA is filed under the name Nicotiana benthamiana. Its description in RNAcentral is "long non-coding RNA (NBEN_LNC014817)". Lineage: Eukaryota; Viridiplantae; Streptophyta; Magnoliopsida; Solanales; Solanaceae. The record is from RNAcentral.